This 508-nucleotide ribosomal RNA is filed under the name uncultured bacterium. RNAcentral's name for it is "partial 16S ribosomal RNA". It matches the Rfam family "Bacterial small subunit ribosomal RNA", at positions 28 to 523 of the family's 1533-position model. The record is from RNAcentral.
GAUGAACGCUAGCUACAGGCUUAACACAUGCAAGUCGAGGGGAAACGAUAGGGAAAGCUUGCUUUUUCUAGGCGUCGACCGGCGCACGGGUGAGUAACGCGUAUCCAACCUGCCCAUCACUUGGGGAUAACCUUGCGAAAGUAAGACUAAUACCCAAUGACGUCUCUAGAAGACAUCUGCAGGAGAGUAAAGAUUUAUCGGUGAUGGAGGGGGAUGCGUCUGAGUAGCUUGUUGGCGGGGUAACGGCCCACCGAGGCGACGAUCAGCAGGGGUUCUGAGAGGAAGGUCCCCCACAUUGGAACUGAGACACGGUCCAAACUCCUACGGGAGGCAGCAGUGAGGAAUAUUGGUCAAUGGACGAGAGUCUGAACCAGCCAAGUAGCGUGCAGGAAGACGGCCCUAUGGGUUGUAAACUGCUUUUAUAAGGGAAUAAAGUGAGUCUCGUGAGACUUUUUGCAUGUACCUUAUGAAUAAGGACCGGCUAAUUCCGUGCCAGCCGCCGCCGUAA